GAUGAACGCUGGCGGCGUGCCUAAUACAUGCAAGUCGAGCGAACAGACGAGGAGCUUGCUCCUCUGACGUUAGCGGCGGACGGGUGAGUAACACGUGGAUAACCUACCUAUAAGACUGGGAUAACUUCGGGAAACCGGAGCUAAUACCGGAUAAUAUAUUGAACCGCAUGGUUCAAUAGUGAAAGACGGUUUUGCUGUCACUUAUAGAUGGAUCCGCGCCGCAUUAGCUAGUUGGUAAGGUAACGGCUUACCAAGGCAACGAUGCGUAGCCGACCUGAGAGGGUGAUCGGCCACACUGGAACUGAGACACGGUCCAGACUCCUACGGGAGGCAGCAGUAGGGAAUCUUCCGCAAUGGGCGAAAGCCUGACGGAGCAACGCCGCGUGAGUGAUGAAGGUCUUCGGAUCGUAAAACUCUGUUAUUAGGGAAGAACAAAUGUGUAAGUAACUAUGCACGUCUUGACGGUACCUAAUCAGAAGCCACGGCUAACUACGUG
RNAcentral lists this ribosomal RNA (496 nucleotides) under uncultured bacterium. RNAcentral's name for it is "partial 16S ribosomal RNA". It matches the Rfam family "Bacterial small subunit ribosomal RNA", at positions 28 to 507 of the family's 1533-position model. The record is from RNAcentral.